Molecule: transfer RNA, 68 nt
Filed under: Rattus norvegicus (Norway rat)
Lineage: Eukaryota; Metazoa; Chordata; Mammalia; Rodentia; Muridae
Rfam family: tRNA
About the family: Transfer RNA (tRNA) molecules are approximately 80 nucleotides in length. Their secondary structure includes four short double-helical elements and three loops (D, anti-codon, and T loops). Further hydrogen bonds mediate the characteristic L-shaped molecular structure. tRNAs have two regions of fundamental functional importance: the anti-codon, which is responsible for specific mRNA codon recognition, and the 3' end, to which the tRNAs corresponding amino acid is attached (by aminoacyl-tRNA synthetases). tRNAs cope with the degeneracy of the genetic code in two manners: having more than one tRNA (with a specific anti-codon) for a particular amino acid; and 'wobble' base-pairing, i.e. permitting non-standard base-pairing at the 3rd anti-codon position.
Source: Rfam by way of RNAcentral
GAGGAUUUAGCUCAGUGGUAGAGCGCUUGCCUAGCAAGCAUGAGGCCCUGGGUUCGGUCCUUAGCUCU